CGCGAUGACUGAGCGUCUACCGCCUGCAAUGUUGCAAGAAGUCCACCGAACCUUAUCAUUUAGAGGAAGGAGAAGUCGUAACAAGGUUUUCGUAGGUGAACCUGUCGAAGGAUCAUUG
Molecule: ribosomal RNA, 118 nt
Filed under: Raphia farinifera
Lineage: Eukaryota; Viridiplantae; Streptophyta; Magnoliopsida; Arecales; Arecaceae
Description: partial 18S ribosomal RNA
Rfam family: Eukaryotic small subunit ribosomal RNA
Source: RNAcentral